CCUACGGGGGGCAGCAGUGAGGAAUAUUGGUCAAUGGACGAGAGUCUGAACCAGCCAAGUAGCGUGAAGGAUGACUGCCCUAUGGGUUGUAAACUUCUUUUAUAUGGGAAUAAAACGUUCCACGUGUGGGAUUUUGUAUGUCCCAUAUGAAUAAGGAUCGGCUAACUCCGUGCCAGCAGCCGCGGUAAUACGGAGGAUCCGAGCGUUAUCCGGAUUUAUUGGGUUUAAAGGGAGCGUAGGUGGAUUGUUAAGUCAGUUGUGAAAGUUUGCGGCUCAACCGUAAAAUUGCAGUUGAAACUGGCAGUCUUGAGUACAGUAGAGGUGGGCGGAAUUCGUGGUGUAGCGGUGAAAUGCUUAGAUAUCACGAAGAACUCCGAUUGCGAAGGCAGUUCACUGGACUGCAACUGACACUGAGGCUCGAAAGUGUGGGUAUCAAACAGGAUUAGAUACCCUUGUAGUC
This 460-nucleotide ribosomal RNA is filed under the name uncultured bacterium. Its description in RNAcentral is "partial 16S ribosomal RNA". It matches the Rfam family "Bacterial small subunit ribosomal RNA", at positions 338 to 795 of the family's 1533-position model. The record is from RNAcentral.